RNAcentral lists this long non-coding RNA (526 nucleotides) under Daucus carota (carrot). RNAcentral's name for it is "long non-coding RNA (DCAR_LNC007389)". The record is from RNAcentral. Lineage: Eukaryota; Viridiplantae; Streptophyta; Magnoliopsida; Apiales; Apiaceae.
AAUUAAUUACUAAUUAAAAUUAAUUAAUAAACUAAUUUAGAUUUUUUUUUUUGAAUAAAUAAAUAAUUAAAAACUAUUUUUGGAAUUUAAAAUAAUUAAAUAAAACAAUUUUAGAAAAUUAAAUCAAAAGGUUUAUUUUGUAAACUUUUGAAAGUUUUGUCCAGGGUUUAAAGUGCAACUUUUCAAAGUUACAGGGGGUAAUUCAUAAGUUUCAAAACCUGAGUACACAAACUUCAUCAUCUUCAAAACUUCGGUGACCAAACAGCAAUAAGCCGCCGGCCACCACACUAACUCGCCGGAAAUUCGUUUCCAGGCGUCCUCCACUCACCAUCUACUCCAGAUAAGUAGUACACACACCCAUAAAUCAAUCCCCCAUCUUUAAUUAGGCAGAAGUCGCGCGAAUUCGCCGGAAAAUCCGGCCGAAGUCGGCGACUUCCCGCCGCCGAUGGCGGCGAUUCGAGCCACCUCCGCUCAAACCAAGCACACCAGCAUACUCCCCUUUCUCUCCUCUUUCUAUUCAUAUAUN